This 369-nucleotide ribosomal RNA is filed under the name uncultured Glomeromycotina. RNAcentral's name for it is "LSU rRNA". Lineage: Eukaryota; Fungi; Glomeromycota. The record is from RNAcentral.
UUGAAAGGGAAACGAUUGAAGUCAGUCGUGCUGGCGCGAAAUCAACCUUCUCGUCUUGAGAUCACAUGGCGUGGCGAGCCUCAAAACCGUCACGAAGCGUGAACUCUUGGUGAAAUGGAGCACUUUCGUGUCCGCUGGUUAACAUCAAUUUCGAACGUCAUAAAAAGGCUGGAGGGAUGUGGCUCCUUCGGGAGUGUUAUAACCUUUAGCGGAAUGUGGUGUUCGGGAUUGAGGAUUGCAACGAAUACCUUUAGGGCUGUUCCACCUGGCUUCUCUUUGGUAUCCUGGUGACGACAGCUUGCUGACGUCGUUAGGAUUCGCCUUUGAACAGGCUAGAAUGUGAGCAAAUUCGUUAAGGAUGUUGACGUA